RNAcentral lists this unclassified non-coding RNA (272 nucleotides) under Hevea brasiliensis (rubber tree). Lineage: Eukaryota; Viridiplantae; Streptophyta; Magnoliopsida; Malpighiales; Euphorbiaceae. The record is from RNAcentral.
CAGAGAUCAUAGAAAAAAAUGGGCGCUUCAAAAUUGAGAGGGCUGAGUUUUUUAACCCAGAAUCUGCUAUUAAAGUCUUUUGCAGUGGGCAGGCAUGCACCNNNNNNNNNNNNUGAAGGAAUACUCAGCAAGCACUUUGGAAGUGAGAUUAUAGAUGAAUUGUUCCAUCGACAUUCCAAGAAAACUGAAGAAUUCUCCUCCCGACUGCAGUCUAGCUCCGAUGAAGGAACUCAACUAUUUCUUGCUCUCAAGCGGAAAUGAUUCCUGCACUU